CGUGAUUGCUGGGGCUGACUCUAGCUCUUCCAGGGGCCGUCGUUCUUUUACAAAGGGGGGUGGAGGUUGUUGUUGACUUUUUUUUUUUUAUGAAUGGAGGGCGGCGGCGACUGCAGCAGCUGGCUCAGCUGCGCGGGCUGUACCCCCUCCCAGCCUGCGAGAGGAGGUACAACUGCUCUGCUAGAGGCAAAACCCUAACAACUGCGUUCCUGCCCGUGCUAACGACAGUCCUUUCACCGAGCCUCACUUGCCCGCUCAGCCUGCUGCUCAGCAGAGAGUUUGUGAAGCCACAUACCGAACCCUUUCCCACAGCCCAGGGAAGAUGAGUCAGAAACAUGGCAAACAAAAGCCAAGGAGGGACCUUUGCGUGAGGCCGAGAGCCCACCUGUCCAUCGGCAUCCGCAUCAUGGAGCAGGACGGGGAGGGCUGGACCCGGGGCUGCAGAGAGCCAGCUCCAUUUAAUCGCUGCUCCAGUGACAUGUGUGUUAAUGAGGGAGGAAAGAAAAAGGACCCCCUAACAGAUGGAGAGAGAGGCUCUGAUUACUGAAAACAGUUUUACAGUCUCCUGUACACGGCCUGUGAGGACCCUCACUCCAGGAUCAGCUCUCAUUUUCGUGGAUUGGGACCUGCCCUUUGGUGAUAUUGGGAAUGUUGGAGGAGCAAUGCCUGGAUCUCCCUCUAUGCUGCCCAUGAGGCUAUCUGCAUCUUUCACCUUUCCAGAUAAGGAAAAUGAGACAUGAAGAGGUUAAGUUGUCCAAGGUCACAUGCAGGAGUUGACAUUUGUGAGGAGUCCAGGACAGUCAUUUUGCAGAUUAUGCGGCUUAUUUGUUCAACAGUUCACAGUAAACACCUCCUGUGUGCCGGGCACUGUACUGUGAGAGGAGAACAUCGUCGUCAAGAAAAACUUGAAGUGAAAGAAGACACUGAUGAUCAAAUGACAUGUGUGAGCAGUUGCAGAUUUUUCCAAAAGGGAGGCUGCAUAAAUUCAAGUGUGGUUCCUGGACCAGCAGCAUCAGCAUCCCCUGAGAGCUUGUUAGAGAUGCAGAAUAUAAGGCCUCACUCCAGACCUCCUGAGUCAGAAUCUGCAUUUUAGGAAGAUUCCCCAAUGGAACUCUUAUCUUGCUAAAUGUAAUUUCAUCCUUUUAAGAAAAUGACAGCAUGUUUUUAUGCAUGCUGUUUUGUGGAGUAAUACAUUCCUGAUGAGAACAUCAUUUUUCAGUUAAAUAAGUCCUGAGGGUGGGACUGAAAGGACCAACAUGGAUAUAAUGUGUUGAUUGUGAUCACUCUGUUGACUGACUUUGCUUACAACCAUUGAUGUGGUCUGAUGAAAACUCAGCAUUUGCAAAUGCCAAGUGAGGCUGUCUGGAGAGGAUGAGUAGGAUUGGAGCUGUGUUUCGUUAAUGGAACACUAGCUGCUGCUAACCAAUAAAUGUCAACACUUCAGCGGCUUUACUUAUACAAGUUUAUUUCUUACUGGACGUCCCUGGUCAACAAGCAGUUCUUCACUAAGCAGUGCUUCUGCCUCCCAG
Molecule: long non-coding RNA, 1529 nt
Filed under: Equus asinus (donkey)
Lineage: Eukaryota; Metazoa; Chordata; Mammalia; Perissodactyla; Equidae
Description: lncRNA (ENSEASG00005023597.1)
Source: RNAcentral